Molecule: microRNA, 23 nt
Filed under: Octopus vulgaris (common octopus)
Lineage: Eukaryota; Metazoa; Mollusca; Cephalopoda; Octopoda; Octopodidae
Also listed under: 1 other name
Description: Ovu-Mir-12546_5p* (star (passenger))
Source: RNAcentral
AACCCCAGAGACUGGUGGCUUGG